Molecule: ribosomal RNA, 492 nt
Filed under: uncultured bacterium
Lineage: Bacteria
Description: bacterial SSU rRNA
Rfam family: Bacterial small subunit ribosomal RNA
Source: RNAcentral
CCUGGCUCAGGAUGAACGCUAGCGGCAGGCUUAAUACAUGCAAGUCGAGGGCAGCACGAAUAGCAAUAUUGGUGGCGACCGGCGCACGGGUGCCGUAACACGUAUACAACCUACCUAUAACAGGGGGAUAGCCUUUCGAAAGAGAGAUUAAUACCCCGUAAUAAAUUGAGUGGCAUCACUUGAUUUUGAAAGCUACGGCGGUUAUAGAUGGGUAUGCGUCUGAUUAGCUAGUUGGUGAGGUAACGGCUCACCAAGGCGACGAUCAGUAGGGGAUCUGAGAGGACUAACCCCCACACUGGUACUGAGACACGGACCAGACUCCUACGGGAGGCAGCAGUAAGGAAUAUUGGUCAAUGGAGGCAACUCUGAACCAGCCAUGCCGCGUGCAGGAUGACGGCCCUAUGGGUUGUAAACUGCUUUUGUACCAGAGAAAACCUACUCACGUGUGAGUAGCUGAUAGUAUGGUAAGAAUAAGCAUCGGCUAACUUCGUG